CUGAACUUAGCCCAACCCCCCCCCAGAUACAAUUACACACUGCAUCUAAAAUAAAUCAUUCACUACACCCAUUAAAGUAUAGGAGAUAGAAAUACUAAUAGGCGCUAUAGAGAAAGUACCGCAAGGGAACAAUGAAAGAUUAUACCAAAGCAAUAAAUAGCAAAGAUUACCCCUUGUACCUUUUGCAUAAUGAUUUAACUAGACCUAAGCUAGCAAAGAGAACUUAAGUUAGCACCCCCGAAACCAGACGAGCUAUCCACAAGCAGCCUACAGGGCAUACUCAUCUAUGUGGCAAAAUAGUGAGAAGACUUACGGAUAGAGGUGACAAGCCUAACGAGCCUGGUGAUAGCUGGUUGUCCAGAAAAGAAUUUUAGUUCUAAUUUAAGUCUACCUAUAAACUCCAAAAAUUUUCCUGUAGGCUUAAAGAGUAGUCUAAGGAGGGACAGCUCCUUAGACGUAGGCUACAACCUUAACUAGAGAGUAAGUAUAAUAAACCAAACCAUAGUUGGCCUAAAAGCAGCCACCAAUAGAGAAAGCGUUCAAGCUCAACAAUCAAGUUAGUUUAAUCCUAACAAUUACCAACCAACUCCUAGUAUAAAACUGGACCAUUCUAUAAUUAUAUAGAAGAGAUACUGUUAAUAUGAGUAACAAGAAACUAUUUCUCCCCCGCAUCAGUGUAUAUCAGAACGAACUCUCACUGAUAGUUAACACAAGUAAAGUAAACUAAAUAACAAGUCCUUUACCACUAUCAUGUUAACCCGACACAGGGAUGCCCUCAGGGAAAGAUUAAAAGGAGUAGAAGGAACUCGGCAAACACAAACCCCGCCUGUUUACCAAAAACAUCACCUCUAGCAUCCCCAGUAUUAGAGGCACUGCCUGCCCAGUGACAUACGUUCAACGGCCGCGGUAUCCUGACCGUGCAAAGGUAGCAUAAUCACUUGUUCUCUAAAUAAGGACUUGUAUGAAUGGCCACACGAGGGUUUAACUGUCUCCUACUCCCAAUCAGUGAAAUUGACCUCCCCGUGAAGAGGCGGGGAUAAAACAAUAAGACGAGAAGACCCUAUGGAGCUUUAAUUAAUUAGCCUAAGAAUAAAACAUAUCUCUCCGAAAGGAUCAAAAUACUCUCUCAUAGGCUAACAAUUUAGGUUGGGGUGACCUCGGAGUACAAAACACCCUCCGAGCAAUUUUAAGCUAAGACUAACUAGUCAAAGCCACACUACUUAUUGAUCCAAAUUUACUUGAUCAACGGAACAAGUUACCCUAGGGAUAACAGCGCAAUCCUAUUCAAGAGUCCUUAUCGACAAUAGGGUUUACGACCUCGAUGUUGGAUCAGGACAUCCCAAUGGUGCAGCAGCUAUUAAAGGUUCGUUUGUUCAACGAUUAAAGUCCUACGUGAUCUGAGUUCAGACCGGAGCAAUCCAGGUCGGUUUCUAUCUAUUCUACGUCUUCCCCAGUACGAAAGGAUCAGGAAGACAGGGCCCCCUUACGAACUAAGCGCCCUCUAACUAAACAGAUGACACAAUCUCAAUCUGGCAUGUUGUAAACAACCCUCUCCCCUAGACCAGGGCU
RNAcentral lists this ribosomal RNA (1569 nucleotides) under Lonchorhina aurita (Common sword-nosed bat). RNAcentral's name for it is "partial 16S ribosomal RNA". It matches the Rfam family "Bacterial large subunit ribosomal RNA", at positions 438 to 2835 of the family's 2925-position model. The record is from RNAcentral. Lineage: Eukaryota; Metazoa; Chordata; Mammalia; Chiroptera; Phyllostomidae.